GGGGUUAUAGCUUAGUGGUAGAGUGCUUGCCUUGCAUGCAUGAAGCCCUGGGUUUGAUCCUCAGCACCA
Molecule: transfer RNA, 69 nt
Filed under: Urocitellus parryii (Arctic ground squirrel)
Lineage: Eukaryota; Metazoa; Chordata; Mammalia; Rodentia; Sciuridae
Also listed under: 1 other name
Description: Spermophilus parryii (Arctic ground squirrel) tRNA
Rfam family: tRNA
About the family: Transfer RNA (tRNA) molecules are approximately 80 nucleotides in length. Their secondary structure includes four short double-helical elements and three loops (D, anti-codon, and T loops).
Source: Rfam by way of RNAcentral